Molecule: ribosomal RNA, 1032 nt
Filed under: unidentified
Description: bacterial SSU rRNA
Rfam family: Bacterial small subunit ribosomal RNA
Source: RNAcentral
AGGGAAUCUUCCACAAUGGACACAAGUCUGAUGGAGCAACGCCGCGUGAGUGAAGAAGGGUUUCGGCUCGUAAAGCUCUGUUGGUAGUGAAGAAAGAUAGAGGUAGUAACUGGCCUUUAUUUGACGGUAAUUACUUAGAAAGUCACGGCUAACUACGUGCCAGCAGCCGCGGUAAUACGUAGGUGGCAAGCGUUGUCCGGAUUUAUUGGGCGUAAAGCGAGUGCAGGCGGUUCAAUAAGUCUGAUGUGAAAGCCUUCGGCUCAACCGGAGAAUUGCAUCAGAAACUGUUGAACUUGAGUGCAGAAGAGGAGAGUGGAACUCCAUGUGUAGCGGUGGAAUGCGUAGAUAUAUGGAAGAACACCAGUGGCGAAGGCGGCUCUCUGGUCUGCAACUGACGCUGAGGCUCGAAAGCAUGGGUAGCGAACAGGAUUAGAUACCCUGGUAGUCCAUGCCGUAAACGAUGAGUGCUAAGUGUUGGGAGGUUUCCGCCUCUCAGUGCUGCAGCUAACGCAUUAAGCACUCCGCCUGGGGAGUACGACCGCAAGGUUGAAACUCAAAGGAAUUGACGGGGGCCCGCACAAGCGGUGGAGCAUGUGGUUUAAUUCGAAGCAACGCGAAGAACCUUACCAGGUCUUGACAUCCAGUGCAAACCUAAGAGAUUAGGAGUUCCCUUCGGGGACGCUGAGACAGGUGGUGCAUGGCUGUCGUCAGCUCGUGUCGUGAGAUGUUGGGUUAAGUCCCGCAACGAGCGCAACCCUUGUCAUUAGUUGCCAUCAUUAAGUUGGGCACUCUAAUGAGACUGCCGGUGACAAACCGGAGGAAGGUGGGGAUGACGUCAAGUCAUCAUGCCCCUUAUGACCUGGGCUACACACGUGCUACAAUGGACGGUACAACGAGAAGCGAACCUGCGAAGGCAAGCGGAUCUCUGAAAGCCGUUCUCAGUUCGGACUGUAGGCUGCAACUCGCCUACACGAAGCUGGAAUCGCUAGUAAUCGCGGAUCAGCACGCCGCGGUGAAUACGUUCCCGGGCCU